This is an RNA transcript of Nannospalax galili (Upper Galilee mountains blind mole rat), 2261 nucleotides long. It is a transcript of the gene named heat shock protein HSP 90-alpha-like, with no coding region annotated. The record is from RefSeq and is a predicted model, not a curated record. NCBI's taxonomy places the organism in Eukaryota, Metazoa, Chordata, Mammalia, Rodentia, Spalacidae. The transcript has a single exon.
AAACACACCCAUAGGAGUUGCUUCGGCAUUGCGGUUGCUGCUCCUUGUGGAGAGUGUGCGGUCACCCAGCCAAGAUGCCUGAGGAAACGCAGACCCAGGACCAGCUGAUGGAGGAGGAGAAGGUGAAGUCCUUCGCCUUCCAGGAGGAGAUAGCCCAGCUGAUGUCGCUGAUCAUCAAUACCUUCUAUUAGAACAAAGAGCUCUUCCUGCAGGAGCUCAUCUCCAACUCAUCAGGCGCACUGGAUAAGAUCAGGUACGAGAGCCUGAUGGACCCCAGCAAACUCGACUCUGGGAAGGACCUACACGUCAGUCUCAUUCCCAACAAGCAGGAGCGAACCCUCACUAUAGUGGACAUGGGGAUCGGAAUGAUUAAGGCUAAUCUGAUCAGUAACCUAGGCACCAUUGCCAAGUCGGACCAAAGCCUUCAUGGAGGCUCUGCAGGCAGGGGCUGAUAUCUCGAUGAUUGGCCAGUUCGGCGUACUUAGUGGCUGAGAAAGUGAAGGUGAUAACCAAGCAUAAUGAUGACGAGCAGUAUGCUUGGGAAUCCUGGCAGGGUGGGGUGCUCCUUCACCAUGUGGCCGACUGUGGGGAAUCUAUGGGUCCUGCAACAAAGGCUGUCCUACAUCUGAAAGAAGACCAAACCGAGUACCUCCUGAAGGAGAAUAAAAGAAAUUGUGAAGAAGCAUUCUCAGCUUAUCAGCUAUCCCAUUACACUGUUUGUGAAGAAGGAACAAGAUAAAGAAGAAAUGAGGCAGAAGAAAAGGAGGACAAAGAGGAAGAGAAGGAGAAGGAAGAGAAGGAAUCCAAUGACAAGCCUGAGAUAGAAGACAUGUGUUCUGAUGAGGAAGAGGAGGAGAAGAAGGAUGGGGACAAGAAGAAGAAGAAGAAGAUCAAGGAGAAGUACAUUGACCAAGAAGAGCUCAACAAAACAAAGCCUAUUUGGACCAGAAACGCUGAUGACAUCACUAAUGGGGAGUACAGGGAGUUCUACAAGAGCUUGACCAACGACCGGGAAGAGCACUUGGCAGUGAAGCAUUUUUCAGUUGAAGGAUAGUAGGAAUUCCGAGCUCUUCUUUUUGUCCCAAGAUGUGUUCCUUUUGAUUUGUUUGAAAACAGAAAGAAAAAGAACAACAUCAAGCUUUAUAUUCGCAGAGUGUUCAUCAUGGAUAACUGUGAGGAGUUAAUCCCACAGUAUCUGAGUUUCAUUAGAGGUGUGGUGGAUUCUGAUGACCUCCCUCUAAAUAUUUCCUGUGAAAUGUUGCAGCAAAGCAAAAUUUUGAAAGCCAUCAGAAAGAAUUUGGUCAAAAAAUGUUUAGAACUGUUCACUGAACUGGCAGAAGAUAAAGAGAACUACAAGAAGUUUUAUGAGCAGUUCUCAAAAAACAUAAAGCUUGGAAUUCAUGAAAACUCUCAAAACCGAAAGAAGCUCUCAGAACUGCUCUGCUACUACACCUCUGCUUCUGGGGAUGAGAUGGUUUCUCUCAAGGACUCCUGCACCAGAAUGAAGGAAAACCAGAAACACAGAAUCUAUUUUAUCACAGGUGAGACCAAGGACCAAGUGGCUAACUCUGCCUUUGUGGAACAGCUCUGAAAGCAUGGCUUAGAAGUGAUAUAUAUGAUUGAGCCCAUUGAUGAGUACUGUGUUCAACAGCUGAAGGAAUUUGAGGACAAAACUUCAGUGUCAGUCACCAAAGAGGUCUUGGAGCUUCCAGAAGAUGAAGAAGAAAAGAAGAAACAGGAAGAGAAAAAGACAGAGUUUGAAAACCUCUGCAAAAGUAUGAAAGACAUCUUAGAAAAUAAAGGUUGAAAAGGUGGUCUUUGUGUCAAACAGAUUGGUGACAUCCCCUUGCUGUAUUGUCUCAAGUACAUAUGGGUGGACGGCUAACAUGGAAAGAAUCAUGAACGCUCAAGCGCUAAGAGACAACUCCACAAUGGGCUACAUGGCAGCAAAGAAGCACCUGGACAUCAACCCCGACCACUCCAUUAUCGAGACCCUAAGGCAAAAGGCAGAGGCCAACAAGAACUACAAGUCCAUGAAGGAUCUAGUCAUCUUGCCGUAUGAAACUGCACUCCUGUCUUCUGACUUCAGUCUGGAAGAUUCCCAGACAUAUGCUAACAGGAUCUACAGGAUGAUCAAACUUGGUCUAGGUAUUGAUGAGGACGAUUCCACUGCUGACAAGAUCAGUGCUUCUGUGACUGAAGAAAUGCCGCCCCUUGAAGGAGAUGAUGACACCUCCCGAAUGGAAGAAGUGGACUGAGCU